GACGAACGCUGGCGGCGUGCUUAACACAUGCAAGUCGAACGGUGAUGCUCCAGCUUGCUGGCGUGGAUCAGUGGCGGACGGGUGAGUAACACGUGAGCAACCUGCCCCAGACUCUGGAAUAAGCGCUGGAAACGGCGUCUAAUACUGGAUACGAAACUGGCCCGCAUGGGCAUGGUUUGGAAAGUUUUUCGGUUUGGGAUGGGCUCGCGGCCUAUCAGCUUGUUGGUGAGGUAAUGGCUCACCAAGGCGACGACGGGUAGCCGGCCUGAGAGGGCGACCGGCCACACUGGGACUGAGACACGGCCCAGACUCCUACGGGAGGCAGCAGUGGGGAAUAUUGCACAAUGGGCGAAAGCCUGAUGCAGCGACGCCGCGUGAGGGAUGACGGCCUUCGGGUUGUAAACCUCUUUCAGCAGGGAAGAAGCGAAAGUGACGGUACCUGCAGAAGAAGCACCGGCUAACUACGUG
This 468-nucleotide ribosomal RNA is filed under the name uncultured bacterium. Its description in RNAcentral is "partial 16S ribosomal RNA". It matches the Rfam family "Bacterial small subunit ribosomal RNA", at positions 28 to 507 of the family's 1533-position model. The record is from RNAcentral.